This 542-nucleotide ribosomal RNA is filed under the name uncultured bacterium. RNAcentral describes it as "partial 16S ribosomal RNA". It matches the Rfam family "Bacterial small subunit ribosomal RNA", at positions 355 to 888 of the family's 1533-position model. The record is from RNAcentral.
UGGGGAAUUUUGGACAAUGGGCGAAAGCCUGAUCCAGCAAUGCCGCGUGUGUGAAGAAGGCCUUCGGGUUGUAAAGCACUUUUGUCCGGAAAGAAAUCCUUGGCUCUAAUACAGUCGGGGGAUGACGGUACCGGAAGAAUAAGCACCGGCUAACUACGUGCCAGCAGCCGCGGUAAUACGUAGGGUGCAAGCGUUAAUCGGAAUUACUGGGCGUAAAGCGUGCGCAGGCGGUUUGCUAAGACCGAUGUGAAAUCCCCGGGCUCAACCUGGGAACUGCAUUGGUGACUGGCAGGCUAGAGUAUGGCAGAGGGGGGUAGAAUUCCACGUGUAGCAGUGAAAAUGCGUAGAGAUGUGGAGGAAUACCGAUGGCGAAGGCNCCCGGCCCAAUGAACUGACGCUCAUGCACGAAAAGCGUGGGGAGCAAAACAGGAUUAGAUACCCUGGUAGUCCACGCCCUAAAACGAUGUCAACUAGUUGUUGGGGAUUCAUUUCCUUAGUAACGUAGCUAACGCGUGAAGUUGACCGCCUGGGGAGUACGGUCG